GAGCAAAGUCGUCUAAUUUUAAUGGCGUCACAUUUGCAUUGAAGGUUGGCAAUAAUAAUAAACGAUUCUCCGUGCCUAUCAAAACCUCAAUUUUGAACAAGGCCUCGAACAAGUCGAUACAUU
Molecule: small nucleolar RNA, 123 nt
Organism: Papaver somniferum (opium poppy)
Lineage: Eukaryota; Viridiplantae; Streptophyta; Magnoliopsida; Ranunculales; Papaveraceae
Source: RefSeq, a predicted model, not a curated record